Molecule: ribosomal RNA, 130 nt
Filed under: Archaeosporaceae sp.
Lineage: Eukaryota; Fungi; Glomeromycota; Glomeromycetes; Archaeosporales; Archaeosporaceae
Description: partial large subunit ribosomal RNA
Rfam family: Eukaryotic large subunit ribosomal RNA
Source: RNAcentral
CGGGAAUAGCUCAAAUUUUAAAUCUGGCCGGCGUGGUCGGUCCGAGUUGUAAUUUGAAGAAGCGAUUAUCACGUUUUCGUUCGGGUUCAAGUUCCUUGGAACAGGACGUCAUAGAGGGUGAGAAUCCCGU